This 492-nucleotide ribosomal RNA is filed under the name uncultured bacterium. RNAcentral's name for it is "partial 16S ribosomal RNA". It matches the Rfam family "Bacterial small subunit ribosomal RNA", at positions 29 to 507 of the family's 1533-position model. The record is from RNAcentral.
AGUGAACGCUGGCGGUAGGCCUAACACAUGCAAGUCGAACGGCAGCACAGUAAGAGCUUGCUCUUACGGGUGGCGAGUGGCGGACGGGUGAGGAAUACAUCGGAAUCUACUUUUUCGUGGGGGAUAACGUAGGGAAACUUACGCUAAUACCGCAUACGACCUACGGGUGAAAGCAUGGGAUCUUCGGACCUUGCGCGAUUGAAUUAGCCGAUGUCGGAUUAGCUAGUUGGCGGGGUAAAGGCCCACCAAGGCGACGAUCCGUAGCUGGUCUGAGAGGAUGAUCAGCCACCCUGGAACUGAGACACGGUCCAGACUCCUACGGGAGGCAGCAGUGGGGAAUAUUGGACAAUGGGCGCAAGCCUGAUCCAGCCAUACCGCGUGGGUGAAGAAGGCCUUCGGGUUGUAAAGCCCUUUUGUUGGGAAAGAAAAGCAGCAGGUUAAUACCCAGCUGUUGUGACGGUACCCAAAGAAUAAGCACCGGCUAACUUCGUG